This 133-nucleotide small nucleolar RNA is filed under the name Trichophyton rubrum BMU01672. RNAcentral's name for it is "HACA-box snoRNA". Lineage: Eukaryota; Fungi; Ascomycota; Eurotiomycetes; Onygenales; Arthrodermataceae. The record is from RNAcentral.
UUGACCAGCAGCUGAAGUGAAGCUGAGCUGAAGAUGAAGUUCGUCUUCGUCUUUGCCCAGUCGUCUAGUUAGUUGCAUCUCCGGCGAUGUGCGUUCGUGCAUGAACUAGUCGAGUCAAUCAGCAGGAGGAAGA